This is a long non-coding RNA of Cyprinus carpio (common carp), 402 nucleotides long. The record is from Ensembl. NCBI's taxonomy places the organism in Eukaryota, Metazoa, Chordata, Actinopteri, Cypriniformes, Cyprinidae.
CGGCUGUUUCAAAGCAAGCAUCAUUAUCUCUUUCAUGCACUAUAUUCUUUUUCAUGUCAGUUAGUUGUGUCAGUUGUUGCCACAUGACCAGAUAUUUGUGUGUUUUAUCUACAGACUCUCUCUGACCUGCAGUAAUGGACGCUUCUCUGCUCUUGUCAAUUAGCCUCCAUUUUCCCCAGCAUGCUUUUAUAGUGCCUCUAAUGCAUCUUAAACUUCAGAAGUGGCUUCCACAUCACAAGAACAUCACUCCAGGCCGGAUUGGACACCUGCACAGGAUGCAUGCUGCUCACGGGUCGUGACUUUGACACCACUAAAGCAGAACAAUGCCAAUCAGGGUUUGUGUCCUGGACUUUCCUCCGCUGCUGGUGCAGAUGUGCUGUGACCCUGUUCCUGGCCAGCCAA